GGGCAGACGCAGUAUGGAAGAAGUUUGAUGAGUGCAUUGCAAGAGCAACAACAAACAGGAAGAAUUCCACUGGACCUUAAAGUUGAAGCACCUGUUUCUGUUAAACUUGGAAGGUUGAAGCUAAGGAAGGUCAGGAUCUUUGGGGAUUGCAUUUUGCUGGUGGAUAGCUUAUCUACCGAUAAUUUUAUUAGCAUUAAAGCUAGAAAUUGCAAAUUUAGAUUGAAG
RNAcentral lists this unclassified non-coding RNA (225 nucleotides) under Hevea brasiliensis (rubber tree). Lineage: Eukaryota; Viridiplantae; Streptophyta; Magnoliopsida; Malpighiales; Euphorbiaceae. The record is from RNAcentral.